Molecule: ribosomal RNA, 490 nt
Filed under: uncultured bacterium
Lineage: Bacteria
Description: bacterial SSU rRNA
Rfam family: Bacterial small subunit ribosomal RNA
Source: RNAcentral
GUAGGGAAGAACAAGUGCUAGUUGAAUAAGCUGGCACCUUGACGGUACCUAACCAGAAAGCUCACGGCUAACUACGUGCCUCGCAGCCGCGGUAAUACGUAGGUGGCAAGCGUUAUCCGGAAUUAUUGGGCGUAAAGCGCGCGCAGGUGGUUUCUUAAGUCUGAUGUGAAAGCCCACGGCUCAACCGUGGAGGGUCAUUGGAAACUGGGAGACUUGAGUGCAGAAGAGGAAAGUGGAAUUCCAUGUGUAGCGGUGAAAUGCGUAGAGAUAUGGAGGAACACCAGUGGCGAAGGCGACUUUCUGGUCUGUAACUGACACUGAGGCGCGAAAGCGUGGGGAGCAAACAGGAUUAGAUACCCUGGUAGUCCACGCCGUAAACGAUGAGUGCUAAGUGUUAGAGGGUUUCCGCCCUUUAGUGCUGAAGUUAACGCAUUAAGCACUCCGCCUGGGGAGUACGGCCGCAAGGCUGAAACUCAAAGGAAUUGACGGA